CCUANGGGUGGCAGCAGUCGAGAAUCUUCCACAAUGGGCGAAAGCCUGAUGGAGCGACGCCGCGUGUAUGAAGAAGUCCUUCGGGAUGUAAAAUACUUUUCUAAGGGAGCAAUUUUUUGAGUGUACCUUAGGAAUAAGGGGCUGCUAAACUCGUGCCAGCAGCAGCGGUAAUACGAGUGCCCCAAGCGUUGUCCGGAAUUACUGGGCGUAAAGCGUCUGUAGGGUGUUUGAUACGUCUUCUGUUAAAUUUCGAUGCUCAACAUCGAAGCUGCAGAGGAAACGGUCAGACUAGAGAGUGUGAGAGGCUGUUGGAACUUAAGGAGUAGGAGUGAAAUCCGUUGAUACCUUAGGGAACACCAAAGGCGAAGGCAUUCAGCUGGUGCAUUUCUGACCCUGAGAGACGAAAGCGUGGGGAGCAAAAAGGAUUAGAUACCCCANUANUC
Molecule: ribosomal RNA, 443 nt
Filed under: uncultured bacterium
Lineage: Bacteria
Description: bacterial SSU rRNA
Rfam family: Bacterial small subunit ribosomal RNA
Source: RNAcentral